This is a long non-coding RNA of Leopardus geoffroyi (Geoffroy's cat), 362 nucleotides long. RefSeq lists it as uncharacterized. Lineage: Eukaryota; Metazoa; Chordata; Mammalia; Carnivora; Felidae. The record is from RefSeq and is a predicted model, not a curated record. The transcript is spliced from 2 exons.
UAAUUCCAAGUCCUGCGGGAGAGUCACCGGCUAUUUGCCAUGCCCCAGAUGGAAACUCCAGGAGGCGGGAAUCUAGAUCCGGGGACCGGCACCUAGCCCCCAUGGCUGCCAUUAGAAUCCCCACCACCCUUCGUGACACAGAGGAGGGACUCAAUCCACGUUUGCUGACGAAAUCAACGUACCCACACGCUAACAAGACGUGCUGCACGCUGCUUUGGGGGCUCGAGGAAGAACGAUUACGUUUUUGUUCCCAACCCGGAGAACAUCCCGCUAGAAGCCCGGCUGCCCGCACCUUAGAAGGAUCCGCCACAACGUCUGUGCAGAGACCUCCUCACGCUUGCACCGGUUGGGCUCACGACCCA